UACAUAGUUCCCUGUAGCAUUUCAAACUAACACAUUAUUUCAUUAUAGUAAUGGAUGCUAAUUUGUGUUCUCUGCACUGUGAAGAUCAUAUGUGAUGCUGCCAACAUUAUCACAAAUGUGGAAGCCAAGUGGCCAGGCUCUGUUCAUGACUCACGAAUUUUUCGUGAAUGUACACUGAGCACAAAAUUUGGACAUGGAGAGUUCACUGGCUACUUGCUUGGUGAUAGGGGGUAUCCAUGUUUACCCUAUUUGCUUACCCCUUACCCUGACCCGGGCCAAAGCAGCGAUAUAAUCUGGCUCACUGCAGGACAAGAGCCAGAGUUGAAAUGACUAUGGGAAUGCUUAAGGCCCGGUUCCAGUGCCUUCAAAGUCUCAGGGUCACCCCAGAAAGGGCAUGUGACAUUAUUGUGGCAUGUGUGAUUCUUCACAACAUUGCCACAAUUAGAGGAGAACACUGUCCUUCUGAACCAAACAUCAGCAGUGAUCCAAACCAUGAACAUCCUGACCCUCCUACGGACAUACAAGAUGGAAGAGCAGUCAGAGACACCAUAUGUCACAAUCAUUUCCUUUGACCCAUCACCUCAACAUGUUGAAAGAAGAAUAAACAGAUUUUUUGUUCAACUGGC
Long non-coding RNA from Oreochromis niloticus (Nile tilapia), 626 nucleotides. RefSeq lists it as uncharacterized. The record is from RefSeq and is a predicted model, not a curated record. The transcript is spliced from 2 exons. Lineage: Eukaryota; Metazoa; Chordata; Actinopteri; Cichliformes; Cichlidae.